RNAcentral lists this ribosomal RNA (497 nucleotides) under uncultured bacterium. Its description in RNAcentral is "partial 16S ribosomal RNA". It matches the Rfam family "Bacterial small subunit ribosomal RNA", at positions 28 to 507 of the family's 1533-position model. The record is from RNAcentral.
GAUGAACGCUGGCGGCGUGCCUAAUACAUGCAAGUCGAGCGAACGGACGAGAAGCUUGCUUCUCUGAUGUUAGCGGCGGACGGGUGAGUAACACGUGGAUAACCUACCUAUAAGACUGGGAUAACUUCGGGAAACCGUAGCUAAUACCGGAUAAUAUUUUAAACCGCAUGGUUCAAAAGUGAAAGACGGUCUUGCUGUCACUUAUAGAUGGAUCCGCGCUGCAUUAGCUAGUUGGUAAGGUAACGGCUUACCAAGGCAACGAUGCAUAGCCGACCUGAGAGGGUGAUCGGCCACACUGGAACUGAGACACGGUCCAGACUCCUACGGGAGGCAGCAGUAGGGAAUCUUCCGCAAUGGGCGAAAGCCUGACGGAGCAACGCCGCGUGAGUGAUGAAGGUCUUCGGAUCGUAAACCUCUGUUAUUAGGGAAGAACAUAUGUGUAAGUAACUGUGCACAUCUUGACGGUACCUAAUCAGAAAGCCACGGCUAACUACGUG